UACGUAGGGGGCAAGCGUUGUCCGGAAUCAUUGGGCGUAAAGAGCGUGUAGGCUGCCCGGUAAGUCCGCUGUGAAAGUCGGGGGCUCAACCCUCGAAUGCCGGUGGAUACUGUCGGGCUAGAGUGCGGAAGAGGCGAGUGGAAUUCCUGGUGUAGCGGUGAAAUGCGCAGAUAUCAGGAGGAACACCAAUUGCGAAGGCAGCUCGCUGGGACGUAACUGACGCUGAGACGCGAAAGCGUGGGGAGCAAACAGG
This 253-nucleotide ribosomal RNA is filed under the name uncultured bacterium. Its description in RNAcentral is "partial 16S ribosomal RNA". It matches the Rfam family "Bacterial small subunit ribosomal RNA", at positions 524 to 776 of the family's 1533-position model. The record is from RNAcentral.